RNAcentral lists this ribosomal RNA (1647 nucleotides) under Triticum aestivum (bread wheat). RNAcentral's name for it is "partial small subunit ribosomal RNA". Lineage: Eukaryota; Viridiplantae; Streptophyta; Magnoliopsida; Poales; Poaceae. The record is from RNAcentral.
AUGGUGUCUGCCGUGCUGCCCCCGCCGGUGCGCGCUGACAUCUGCAUUGUGCCGCGCUCGACGGGGAUGGCAGACCUGGAGCGCAGGUUGCAACUUGCAGUGGUGGCAUACGUGGGUGGUGCCAGGCCACCGGUUUCCUGCGUCGACGCGGCGAUUGCCAUCUCCGAGCAACUUGAGAUCCCGCUGCACCGCUUCUCUGUGCCCAAGUUCCACCCUGAAGAUUUCUUGGUGGUCUUCGCGUCCCACGAUCUCCGCAACAAAGCUCUGGAAGUCCCAUUCAUCGAGCAUCCAAGGUUCAAGCUUUUCACCAAGCCAUGGUUGAGGCAGGCCCAAGCGCAGUCCAAGUUGAUGCGUGUUCAAGUUGAUCUCAUGAUUGAAGGAGUGCCGUCGCACGCCUGGUCCAGGGAGACGGCGUCGGAGCUGUUGGGCUCGUCCUGCCUAAUUGAGAGCCUGGCGCCUGAGACAGUUAACAGAGAAGAUCUUUCGCUCUUCAAGCUCAGAGCGUGAUCCCCGAGCUCGGAUGGAGGCGGCAGCCAGAGCGGUCUGCCGGAGAGCUUCAAUGGCUUCUUCAUGGGCGAGUGGACGGUGCUGCCUUGGUCGAGAGGAGUCCGCGAUGACCGCGGCACUAGCCGGCGCUCGCCGGGCCACGCCGGGGGUGGAGGCGCGACGGGGCCUCGCACAAUCGCUAUCCAGAGUGCCAUUGUACCGCGGCCGAGCCAGGUGGUGCCAGCUGGUGAGCUGGUCACACCUGCUCCGCCCAACAAUACAGCCAAGAAGGUCAAUCCCCAGGAGACAGAAACCAAUCGGGUGCUAGACACACCAUCCCAAACCGACAAGAUUGCAGAGGAAGACAGCAUCCCUGAUAAAGAGACCGUGGUGAUUGGACAGACUGAGUCGCCUUUGGUCAUGGUGCUGAUCGACAAUCCUAGGGAGGGGCCACUGCUGCAUGGAGAUGUGGAUGGGCCAAUGGCAUCUGAUUCACCUACACAAGACUCGCCGCUGGCAAUGAUUGCCUCGGAUCCGGUGGGGCCAAUAGCUGGCCCGCUUCUUGCAGCGGGUUGGGCACCAGCGGCAGAACUGCUUGCCCCCACUACCGCGGAGCCGACCGUGAUUCCAGCCUCGGAGACCGCCCUGGUAGGGCCAGUUCUGCAUGGCUCACCGGAUGUGACUACGCCGCAUGCGCACUGCGAGCACACGUUGCAUGCAGUUGACGCCCCUGUCCAGGUUCCGGCCGUUGAGCCUUCCGUCGAGUUAACACGGCUAUCUUCCAAGGAGGCGCUGGCUCUGGGUAACAUCAAAACGUUUUGUGCGGGACUGUUGAAGAAAUUGGCACCUCCGUUACUUAAGGAAAUCGAAGUGGCUAAUGGAGUUAGACCAGGGCAAGACCCUUUCACACCACGGUGCAACACCCGCUCGCUUAGCUCCACCUCUCGGAGCUCCAAAGCCUCGCCUGCCGAGACUGUUCUGCUCAAAGCCUUGGGAAUUGUACUGGACGAUCUGGAGAUCACUGAAGGAGCAUUGGCGCAGCUUUGUGAGAUGUUUGACUCGCCGCUCCAAGACAAGCACCUACGUACCAUCGUUGCCAUCUUCGGAAAAUUGUUUCCCAUGGAGCUAGGCAUGGAGAACCAUGUGGUCACUGCCAUCUAG